UGGGGAAUCUUGCGCAAUGGGCGAAAGCCUGACGCAGCCAUACCGCGUGCAGGAUGAAGGCCUUCGGGUUGUAAACUGCUUUUGUACGGAACGAAAAGACUCCUUCUAAUAAAGGGGGUCCAUGUCGGUACCGUAAGAAUAAGCACCGGCUAACUACGUGCCAGCAGCCGCGGUAAUACGUAGGGUGCGAGCGUUAAUCGGAAUUACUGGGCGUAAAGCGUGCGCAGGCGGUUAUAUAAGACAGAUGUGAAAUCCCCGGGCUCAACCUGGGAACCGCAUUUGUGACUGUAUAGCUAGAGUACGGCAGAGGGGGAUGGAAUUCCGCGUGUAGCAGUGAAAUGCGUAGAUAUGCGGAGGAACACCGAUGGCGAAGGCAAUCCCCUGGACCUGUACUGACGCUCAUGCACGAAAGCGUGGGGAGCAAACA
Molecule: ribosomal RNA, 427 nt
Filed under: uncultured bacterium
Lineage: Bacteria
Description: bacterial SSU rRNA
Rfam family: Bacterial small subunit ribosomal RNA
Source: RNAcentral